RNAcentral lists this ribosomal RNA (112 nucleotides) under Caerostris darwini. The record is from RNAcentral. Lineage: Eukaryota; Metazoa; Arthropoda; Arachnida; Araneae; Araneidae.
AACGGCCGUACCAUGCUGAAUAUACCGGUUCUCGUUAGAUCACCGAAGUCAAGCAUCAUAGGGCGCGGUCAGUACUUGGGUGGGUGACCACCUGGGAACACUGCGUGCCGUU